AACGUAGGAGACAAACGUUAUCCGGAUUUACUGGGCGUAAAGGGCGCGUAGGCGGCUUUAUAAGUCGGGGGUGAAAGCCUGUGGCUCAACCACAGAAUUGCCUUCGAUACUGUAGAGCUUGAGACCGGAAGAGGUAAGUGGAACUGCGAGUGUAGAGGUGAAAUUCGUAGAUAUUCGCAAGAACACCAGUGGCGAAGGCGGCUUACUGGUCCGGUUCUGACGCUGAGGCGCGAAAGCGUGGGGAGCAAACAGG
This 253-nucleotide ribosomal RNA is filed under the name uncultured bacterium. RNAcentral's name for it is "partial 16S ribosomal RNA". It matches the Rfam family "Bacterial small subunit ribosomal RNA", at positions 524 to 776 of the family's 1533-position model. The record is from RNAcentral.